This is a small nuclear RNA of Macadamia integrifolia, 98 nucleotides long. NCBI's taxonomy places the organism in Eukaryota, Viridiplantae, Streptophyta, Magnoliopsida, Proteales, Proteaceae. The record is from RefSeq and is a predicted model, not a curated record.
CAGUCUCACACCACCAAUAUAAAAUCGGAACUAUACAGAGAAGACUAGCAUGGCCCUGCUGCGCAACACGUACAAAUUGAAAAAUGGUUCAUUUUUUU